RNAcentral lists this ribosomal RNA (1696 nucleotides) under Salmonella enterica. RNAcentral's name for it is "partial 23S ribosomal RNA". It matches the Rfam family "Bacterial large subunit ribosomal RNA", at positions 711 to 2388 of the family's 2925-position model. The record is from RNAcentral. Lineage: Bacteria; Pseudomonadati; Pseudomonadota; Gammaproteobacteria; Enterobacterales; Enterobacteriaceae.
AGACCCGAAACCCGGUGAUCUAGCCAUGGGCAGGUUGAAGGUUGGGUAACACUAACUGGAGGACCGAACCGACUAAUGUUGAAAAAUUAGCGGAUGACCUGUGGCUGGGGGUGAAAGGCCAAUCAAACCGGGAGAUAGCUGGUUCUCCCCGAAAGCUAUUUAGGUAGCGCCUCGUGAAUUCAUCUCCGGGGGUAGAGCACUGUUUCGGCUAGGGGGUCAUCCCGACUUACCAACCCGAUGCAAACUGCGAAUACCGGAGAAUGUUAUCACGGGAGACACACGGCGGGUGCUAACGUCCGUCGUGAAGAGGGAAACAACCCAGACCGCCAGCUAAGGUCCCAAAGUCAUGGUUAAGUGGGAAACGAUGUGGGAAGGCCCAGACAGCCAGGAUGUUGGCUUAGAAGCAGCCAUCAUUUAAAGAAAGCGUAAUAGCUCACUGGUCGAGUCGGCCUGCGCGGAAGAUGUAACGGGGCUAAACCAUGCACCGAAGCUGCGGCAGCGACACUGUGUGUUGUUGGGUAGGGGAGCGUUCUGUAAGCCUGUGAAGGUGGCCUGUGAGGGUUGCUGGAGGUAUCAGAAGUGCGAAUGCUGACAUAAGUAACGAUAAAGCGGGUGAAAAGCCCGCUCGCCGGAAGACCAAGGGUUCCUGUCCAACGUUAAUCGGGGCAGGGUGAGUCGACCCCUAAGGCGAGGCCGAAAGGCGUAGUCGAUGGGAAACGGGUUAAUAUUCCCGUACUUGGUGUUACUGCGAAGGGGGGACGGAGAAGGCUAUGUUGGCCGGGCGACGGUUGUCCCGGUUUAAGCGUGUAGGUGUGUGUUCCAGGUAAAUCCGGUUCACUUUAACACUGAGGCGUGACGACGAGGCACUACGGUGCUGAAGCAACAAAUGCCCUGCUUCCAGGAAAAGCCUCUAAGCAUCAGGUAACAUCAAAUCGUACCCCAAACCGACACAGGUGGUCAGGUAGAGAAUACCAAGGCGCUUGAGAGAACUCGGGUGAAGGAACUAGGCAAAAUGGUGCCGUAACUUCGGGAGAAGGCACGCUGACACGUAGGUGAAGUGAUUUACUCACGGAGCUGAAGUCAGUCGAAGAUACCAGCUGGCUGCAACUGUUUAUUAAAAACACAGCACUGUGCAAACACGAAAGUGGACGUAUACGGUGUGACGCCUGCCCGGUGCCGGAAGGUUAAUUGAUGGGGUCAGCGCAAGCGAAGCUCCUGAUCGAAGCCCCGGUAAACGGCGGCCGUAACUAUAACGGUCCUAAGGUAGCGAAAUUCCUUGUCGGGUAAGUUCCGACCUGCACGAAUGGCGUAAUGAUGGCCAGGCUGUCUCCACCCGAGACUCAGUGAAAUUGAACUCGCUGUGAAGAUGCAGUGUACCCGCGGCAAGACGGAAAGACCCCGUGAACCUUUACUAUAGCUUGACACUGAACAUUGAGCCUUGAUGUGUAGGAUAGGUGGGAGGCUUUGAAGCGUGGACGCCAGUCUGCGUGGAGCCGACCUUGAAAUACCACCCUUUAAUGUUUGAUGUUCUAACGUGGACCCGUGAUCCGGGUUGCGGACAGUGUCUGGUGGGUAGUUUGACUGGGGCGGUCUCCUCCUAAAGAGUAACGGAGGAGCACGAAGGUUGGCUAAUCCUGGUCGGACAUCAGGAGGUUAGUGCAAUGGCAUAAGCCAGCUUGACUGCGAGCGUGACGGC